UGUCAAAUAAACAGUCGAAAA
Caenorhabditis elegans is the source of this 21-nucleotide non-coding RNA. The record is from Ensembl. NCBI's taxonomy places the organism in Eukaryota, Metazoa, Nematoda, Chromadorea, Rhabditida, Rhabditidae.